GGGCGAUGAUGGCGGAACUUCAGCGGCGGACUCGGCCAGGAGGAGGGGCGGCGCGGUGGAUCCGACCAGGCGGAGAGGAGGAGCAGGAGGAAGAGGCCAGCGCUGGCGGUGGGUAGGGAGAGAGAAGAGGAGAGAGGGGGGGGCAACCACGGAAAAGAGAGGGAGGGGGACCACUUUUAACACCUUUGGCACAUUUUAACACCCCCUCCAUGUGUUUAUGAAAAGAGAGGUGUUAAAUUUUAACACCUCUCUUUUAACACUUGUGUUUGGCAGCCAAGGUGUUAAAAAUGUGUUAAAAGGGGUGUUAAACUUUAACACCCCCUCCCAAACAGGCCCUUAG
Molecule: long non-coding RNA, 340 nt
Filed under: Setaria viridis
Lineage: Eukaryota; Viridiplantae; Streptophyta; Magnoliopsida; Poales; Poaceae
Description: long non-coding RNA (SVIR_LNC000262)
Source: RNAcentral